ACACCCUGACCCAGGGCUGGCCGGGAGCCUUCGGGGCGACAGCUCCGAGGAUGGACGUAGGGGCCAGCUGCUGCCCCAGAGUCCUGCCCCCUGCAGCCCUGUGUGGAGCCCUGGGACUCCUGUGGGUGGGCCUCACCCUGCUGGGGACGGUCCAGCCACAGCGCCAGGGCCCCCAGAGGGGCCUGAACUUGCCUUUCCACAAGAUCUGUCUCCAGCCUGGCCUCAGAAAGGAGCGGGGACCCACCCUGCAAACGCUGGGCCAGGACCCCUGUCCCGGAGAAGCAGCCAGCUCAGAACCCCCUUGGAGGCCGGGAGGAAGUGGGGUUGGAAAAUGACGAGAUGGAGGCUACGCCGAGACCAAGCGCCAGGAGAAGGGACCCAGGCCAAGCUGCUCGGUCUCUGCUUCUCCCUCCUCUCACUCUAGCCCCUCCGUGAUUCUCUGCCUGGGCCGGCCACCCUCUGUCCUGAGGACGCUGGAGCCUGGCCCGGCCCUUGGCAGCCCCACCCUCACCGCCCAUCCCAGCCUCGCUGGUGCCCCCUCCACGUGGGAGGCUCAGCCACACCUGCCCCCACGACCCCAUCAGAAAUAAACAGUCUGUGCCA
This 603-nucleotide long non-coding RNA is filed under the name Homo sapiens (human). RNAcentral's name for it is "long independently transcribed non-coding RNA 2692 (LINC02692)". The record is from RNAcentral. Lineage: Eukaryota; Metazoa; Chordata; Mammalia; Primates; Hominidae.